RNAcentral lists this ribosomal RNA (498 nucleotides) under uncultured bacterium. RNAcentral describes it as "partial 16S ribosomal RNA". It matches the Rfam family "Bacterial small subunit ribosomal RNA", at positions 28 to 507 of the family's 1533-position model. The record is from RNAcentral.
GACGAACGCUGGCGGCGUGCCUAAUACAUGCAAGUCGAGCGGACGGAUGGGAGCUUGCUCCCAGACCGUCAGCGGCGGACGGGUGAGUAACACGUGGGCAACCUGCCUGUGAGACUGGGAUAACUCCGGGAAACCGGGGCUAAUACCGGAUAACUCUUUCCCUCACAUGAGGGAAAGCUGAAAGAUGGCAUCUCGCUAUCACUUACAGAUGGGCCCGCGGCGCAUUAGCUAGUUGGUGAGGUAACGGCUCACCAAGGCGACGAUGCGUAGCCGACCUGAGAGGGUGAUCGGCCACACUGGGACUGAGACACGGCCCAGACUCCUACGGGAGGCAGCAGUAGGGAAUCUUCCGCAAUGGACGAAAGUCUGACGGAGCAACGCCGCGUGAGUGAUGAAGGUUUUCGGAUCGUAAAACUCUGUUGUCAGGGAAGAACAAGUACCGGAGUAACUGCCGGUACCUUGACGGUACCUGACCAGAAAGCCACGGCUAACUACGUG